GAUCGAAUCUCAGAGCAAGGAUCUGAAGGUGGUAGCGGGAGAAGCUAGUCGAAAUGCUGAGAAAGAACGUCGAGCAGACUUCUUCAAUCAACCUUGGGUUGAAGAUGCAGUUAUACGUUACUUGAACCGGAAGCCAGCAGCUGGGAACGAAGGACCAGGGACCUGGUGAGUAUCUUGCAGGUACCUUACCAUCAAGUCUAAAGAAAAAAAAUGGUAGGAGCAAUCUGGUUUAUUUGUAAUUUCAUGUAUGAUGAAACCUUAGUACUUCAUAAUUUAGCUUUGAUUUGUAGCUACUUUGGUUGAUUCUUAAUUAUACUUUUGAUAAUAAGCCGAACGA
RNA transcript from Brassica napus (rape), 337 nucleotides. RefSeq lists it as uncharacterized. The record is from RefSeq and is a predicted model, not a curated record. NCBI's taxonomy places the organism in Eukaryota, Viridiplantae, Streptophyta, Magnoliopsida, Brassicales, Brassicaceae. The transcript is spliced from 2 exons.